GUCUAUGGCCAUGCCACCCUGAAUAUGCCCAAUCUCGUCUGAUCUCGGAAGCUAAGCAGGGUCAGGCCUGGUGAGUACUUGGAUGGGAGACCACCUAGAAAGACCAGGUGCUGUAGGUG
RNAcentral lists this ribosomal RNA (119 nucleotides) under Pteropus alecto (black flying fox). The record is from RNAcentral. Lineage: Eukaryota; Metazoa; Chordata; Mammalia; Chiroptera; Pteropodidae.